AUAUAUUAGAGAUGAAUAUAUAUUAGUUACUGUUUAAAAUAAAAUAAGUCAUUUAUAAAAGAUUGCAGGUUACUGUUUUUGAAUUUCUAGAAAAAAAGAAACUGUUUUGAAGAAAUUUGAUAAUUUUUCAAAACCUCCGCAGCAUAAUGUAAUAUUGACUCAAAGUUCAAACAAAGUAAUAAAAAAGAAAUUGCCAAAAUAAUAUAAUAAUUCAUACAAUAAUCAAAUAAAAAAAUAAAUA
RNAcentral lists this unclassified non-coding RNA (241 nucleotides) under Hevea brasiliensis (rubber tree). Lineage: Eukaryota; Viridiplantae; Streptophyta; Magnoliopsida; Malpighiales; Euphorbiaceae. The record is from RNAcentral.